GUUCAGUCGUUCUGUAGCUCAGUUACCGGCAAGUAGUUUGACAUACGACAAUUUUGUGACCUUUACGAUUUAAAAAUAAAUUUUGUGUUUGGUUAAUUAACAUUUUAAAGUAAUAUUCAGCUGCAGCUGUUUGGAUAAGCUAGAUUCUUAGCAAAACUGAAUAAUGUCAGGAUGGGCAAAACGUAUUCAAAGAUUAAGAGCAGAUCAGAUGUUCAACAUGCUGAAUGUAGAUGUUACUGGUACAAAACGUAAAGCUCCCGACAGUGAUGACGAAAAGGAAAAUAGGGAAAAUGAAAAUCGUCACCUUGAAGAAGAGGAUGAUGAAUUUCAAAGCUCAUUGAUUGCGA
RNAcentral lists this unclassified non-coding RNA (347 nucleotides) under Melitaea cinxia (Glanville fritillary). Its description in RNAcentral is "misc RNA ENSMCXG00005008496.1". The record is from RNAcentral. Lineage: Eukaryota; Metazoa; Arthropoda; Insecta; Lepidoptera; Nymphalidae.